Molecule: non-coding RNA, 73 nt
Organism: Henosepilachna vigintioctopunctata
Lineage: Eukaryota; Metazoa; Arthropoda; Insecta; Coleoptera; Coccinellidae
Source: the annotation of a GenBank genome assembly
GUCUACGUGCCUUAGUCGUGAGAACACUCGACUAUGGUGCGAUAGGAUUCGGGUUCGAGCCCCGGUGGAGACA